UUCAUCGCGGCAGCCAUGUUCAUCGCAUUCCUGGAAUAACUCUAGACGGGCUGGCAGUCCUGUAAAGAGAUAGGGGGUGGAGGGCUGGGUGUCCAUUUGUAUGAGCUGAUGCAAGCACUUUGGAGCCUCGGGAGAAUUAACCAGGCGUCUGCCACCUGACCCCGUUGACUCCGACCAUCCUGGGCUCAGCUGAUACGCGUGCCGUGUGGCCCUGACAUGAGGAAGACAAAAAAGCAGGAGGAGUGGGAGGAGGCCUGAGGACAGAAGGACCAGCAGGCAAUGAAUGAUUAUGAUGACUAGGGCCAUCUUUCUGGCCUCAGCCCCCCCAGCAGAAACCCUGGCCUUGGCUCUGUCUCUGGCUCUCACAUGGACUAGUGAUCUGGCUUGGGUCGGCAUGGGUCGGUGUGGGUGAAGUGUCACCACCAGGCAGGGUCUGGCCUGUCAGCUGUUGGGGAUGACAGGAGGGGAGGAGAGGAACGGAGAGGAAAGGCGAGGAGAGAUGUAGAUUAUAAAGGAAUGGGGAGAUUUAUAAUAAGUGAGGAGUGAGGAGAAUCAUGAAGAGACAAUUGGUGAGCAGAGUGAAGUCAUGAAAAGCCAACCGGGAGAGAAGAGAUAAUAUUGGAAGGAGCAUACUGAGACAAUGGCUAAAAGGGAACAGGUUUUGUGGAGGUGUUAUAUCUGCCAGGCCUUAUGCAACCUACAGAGCUCACACAGAUGGCACGACUGCUGAGAAAGUAGGGUAAACAGUCCCAGCUAAUGACUUGCCCCCUCUUGACUCAGUACAGUGAAGUGAAAGAGCAAAUAAUUGGAGAAAGCGUUUCCUCAUAGGGAUUAAGAAUGUGUCAGGUCAACCACUGUACAGUGGAGAGGGUAAGUGAUCAGGGUAAAUGUGCUUAAUGUGUGGGCUCAUAUAUUCACGGCAUCUUUUCACAGUGCUGUUGGCACUGUCAGAUCUCUCCAAGGCAGUGAUUACUUAAGGGGUAGGCAGUUGCAUUUGAGGCUGAGGAUACAUGUGUGGGGUCAGGAUGGGGGAAAGACCUGCAUGUUCUUCACAGCAUAGCCUGGGAGAAAUGCAAAGAGAUGGUAUAUGGAAAAGACAAAGAUAAAAAGGUGUAUUGGUCAUCUUGCUCAUAUUGAGCAUUCACAAAUCUCACAUUCUCAAACAACAGCCUCUCUUACAGCACAGUAACAUCGGAAAGUGAUACAACAAACUUUAUUCAUUGAUUACAUUGAAAUUAAUUGGAAAAUUGGAAUUUAGUUUUUAUGAAUGUAGAUCUGACUGAGCCUCAACAAUGAAAUGGCUCAUUUUGAUUCAAUGGUUCAAUCCUUAUGAGGAAGUAGCUGUUUUUACCCGAUUUCAAGGAUUUUCCAUAUAAACAAGACAUCUUCUAUUGUCUUGAAAGGAAUUUUAAAUUAAAAUUUGCAAAUCAUUUGAUUUGCAUGGUGAGAACUGUUCCUGAGUUAAUGUUAAUAGGUUAAUGGGAGAGGGUUACAGCUUGUAGAAAGCUAUAACUCAGUACAUUCAGACAGUCAUUCAGUCAGCCAGUAGGUCAGGUCAGCUGAUUUGCUGUGUAACAGUCCUGCUGGUGUGAUUAAAGGGGCUGUGACAAAGACGCUGAAAGGCGAUGAAGGGGGGCAGUGGCCAGCUGUCACACAGAGGGACCAUAAUGACCACGGCAAAUCCCACCACCGUCUGAGCCUGUUUCUUCUUUGACUUCAGCCUCCUGCUAACUGACUAGUCAUCUCUUUGUUAACCUGUCACAUAGCUGGUUGACAAGAUGAGUUAGAUAGGACGUUGUUGUCACAAUCAAAGGUUUAGUCUGGAUUGAUUCAUUGUAUGGGUAAAUCACUGAAUACAUACUAGAUUUAGAUUACACUUAUUGCUAGAGUUACAUGUUGAAAUAAUAAAAGAAUGUGCCAUGACAGAGAAAUCAUUAGUUAUUUGAAAUAAGAAUGUGUCUGCAAUGAAGACCUGUGGUAGUUCAUGCAUUCACAGAAGUCAUUAAAAGUCACAUAUUCCAUACAGUGUAGUACACAGUAACUUAACUCCCACCACCUCCACAGCCUUCUCCUGCAUCAGCCAUUAGAUUCAUGUUAAAUCACCAUGUUUUCCAUUCAAUAAAUGUUAUGUUCAUUUGACUGUUUUGUAUCCCAAGCUCUGCAGGGAGCUUUUUGUGCUCAGUGACUAUGUAAUGCCAGCACAGUGCCAAAAUAGAAUGUGAAUGUUAUUGAUGUUAGAAAGUUAUUGUUGCAAAAUUAAUUAAAACCUUGAUAAAAAGUUUCUUGACUGAACUGUAACAUAAUAAAGGUGAUUCAAUAUGUCACAG
Molecule: long non-coding RNA, 2327 nt
Organism: Thunnus maccoyii (southern bluefin tuna)
Lineage: Eukaryota; Metazoa; Chordata; Actinopteri; Scombriformes; Scombridae
Exons: 2
Source: RefSeq, a predicted model, not a curated record